This 33821-nucleotide long non-coding RNA is filed under the name Phoenix dactylifera (date palm). RNAcentral describes it as "long non-coding RNA (PDAC_LNC005213)". The stretch from base 6323 to 6395 matches the Rfam family "tRNA". Lineage: Eukaryota; Viridiplantae; Streptophyta; Magnoliopsida; Arecales; Arecaceae. The record is from RNAcentral.
UUUGCUGUUUGGUAACUAUAUUCGUAAAGUGCUGUGGUACUUUGUUUUGUGUUUGGUAAACAAACUAAGAAAGUACUUUUGUAUGACAAAAUUACCAUAAAGGACAUUUCAUAGUAUUAUACAACAGAACAUAAUAAAAUAUAACAUAUAUUAGUACAUAAAUAUACGAUAUAGUAUAAUAUUAUUGUGAUAUAAAAUAAUAUUAUUAUAAUAUAGCAUAAUAGUAAUAUAAUUAUUAGAGUAAAUUAAUAUUUGGUAAUAUAACAUAAUAUUAAAUUAUUUAACAUAACAUAUUAAUGUAUUAUGAUAUAAUGUAAUAUAUAUUAUAUUUAUAGUAUAAUACAAUAAUAAAGGUAUAAAAUAUUAUAAUUAUUAGUAUAAAUUAAUUUUUCAUAAUCUAACAUAAUAUUAAAUUAUUUAAAAUAACAUAUUAAUAUAUUAUAAUGUAAUGUAAUAUACUAUAAUANNNNNNNNNNNNNNNNNNNNNNNNNNNNNNNNNNNNNNNNNNNNNNNNNNNNNNNNNNNNNNNNNNNNNNNNNNNNNNNNNNNNNNNNNNNNNNNNNNNNNNNNNNNNNNNNNNNNNNNNNNNNNNNNNNNNNNNNNNNNNNNNNNNNNNNNNNNNNNNNNNNNNNNNNNNNNNNNNNNNNNNNNNNNNNNNNNNNNNNNNNNNNNNNNNNNNNNNNNNNNNNNNNNNNNNNNNNNNNNNNNNNNNNNNNNCCUCUCUCCCCUUCUCCGCUCUUCUCCUCCCGCGCGGUCGGCAGCGCCGGAAGGGGGCCAGGCCGUGGCGGCUGCGGGAGGGGGCCGGCGGCGCCUGCGGCAGUCUCGGCGGCCGCGGUUGGCCCCCUGGGAAGGAUUCUCCUCCCGUGUGGCCGACGGCGCCGGAGGGGGUGCGGCACUACAGCGGCGGGGGAGAGUGAGGCACUGCAGCGGCGGGGGAGAGGGAGGGGGUGCGGCACUGCAAGGGGGGGUGGGGGCGUGGGUGGGAGAGGAACAGGCGGUGAGAUGAGGUUUUGGGGAGAAAAUUUAUUUUUAAAAUGGGGGUAUUUUGGUCAAAAAUAGAGCUUCCCGACAAAGCUGAAAACAGCAUUUUCGGAAAGUUUCAAAUUGGAGCUUCUCCCCAAAAGCUGUUUUCAGCUUCCCGCAAAAGCUGAAACAGCUUUCCGAAAAUUUUACCAAACACCAUUUUUUAUCUAAAAGUACUUUUGGAGGGCCAGAAAGUGCUUUUUGGCCCUCUAAAAGCUCUCCCAAACAGGACCUAAAUAUUAGGUCAAACUACAAACAAAGAACCUAAACAAGCAGUCUCAUUUCCAAACAGUAACAAGGAAGAUGAAGUCCAUUAAGAUAUGAUUCAUAUCAUACCGUUACCUGCAAAACAAAAAUGAUAUCAAGUUAAUGAUAAUAUUAUAAGAAAGCACUCUUAAUAUCAACGGUAUAUGAAUAUAAUACUAUGACAAACGAUAAAGUCAUUUGUGUUUACCCAGUUGAAGGUUAUGCUCAACCAAAUGCAGUGAAGCAUUAGGAGCAUUGGAGACAUCUGGUACCUAUCAAUAGAAUUCAACAAGUUACAUCAUAUGAGUAUACUGUGACAAUGUUCAUCUUAACAUAAAAUAUUUCUAUAAUUGUUUGUUAAAUCCCUAGGAAAUCAUAAGUUAAUUUAUACUAAACAAAUGCAAAAUAUUGUAAAUUUGGUACCUACUAAUCAAAUUUAUAAGAAGGAAGAAAUGACUCCAAGGAAGGUAGAUUACCUCUUUGUGGCGACCACCGACUUCUAUUGUGUAUAAAAUAUCAACAUUAUUUAGCUCUAGGGCGAUCCACUAAAAGACUGUCUAUAAUGAUGACAAUUGGGUUUGCAGUCCUAAUAUGCAAUUUUUUUGAGCUUCUCAUGUAUCACUUUAUCAUGUUGUGUAUUACAAAAAUAGUAAGAAAAUUUUAAAUUUAGUAAUUAAUAUUUGUUGACAUAAUAAUUGUUUUAUACCAUUUCAUUACAAGCCAGUGCAAAUGCCUUCAAUCCAUUCAGUUGGACUCUUUCUGUGGAAUAAACUUCUAGAGGCCAUGUUAGGGCCUCCUAAAUCAUGCAUCACCAUCCUACAUUACUCGUAAAUUUAUUCACUACUUCAUCAGAGCAUGAUACCAAAGGUGCAAUAUACACAAAAUAGAGGAGGUGUAAUUGCCAAUUAAAAUUAUAUUUGAUAGACACAAAUGUCGGAGCACAUGUCAUCAGAGCACCUGUAAAGACAACAGAUAACCAGAUCAAAAACAGAACUAGCUGUAGUAUCCAAACCAAUAAUGAAAAUAAAAAAUUCAGCAGAAUUUCAAUCAAGAAUUCAUAUUAGCUCAGGAGAAAAUUUUCAAUCAAGAAUCCAAUGGACUAUAUUAGUAUCAUCUGCUUUGCACUGCUUAAAUAGGGGAGGUAGAUGCAGCUGUAGAAUGAACCGCGUUGUAAGACCCUGAUCCAUCUAGCCCUAACUCAGAAUCUCUCCUAGAAAUUAGUGCAAGCCUUAAAACCAUCUUUUUUGCAUAAAUAAGAAAUAAGGAAGCUUCCCAAAAUUGUGAUGAAGGUACACAAGUUGGCAUAAAGGGUACACUAUGUUUCAAAAACGUUAACAUGUGUAAUGCUUUUGAAGGGUAAGACAAUUGGUUACAUUCUAUAUUGAAGCAAAUGAAACCAAGAGAAAUGAAAAGCUCUUAAUGCUCAUUGGCCUAGUCAAUACUAUGUUUAGCAUUUGGCACUGCAGCCUCAUGCAUCACUGAGAUCUUGAUAUAUACAUUUUGCAUAGCUAUUCUCCACAUUAAAAGUAAAACACCAUAGGGGAUCCUUUUAAAUUGGUUUCUUUCAGCAAAGUAUUGACCCAGGGCUUGAUAUUGUUAAUGACUCCAAGACUAAAUUAAUCAACUUACCUCUCAUGUUGUUCCUCCUACAGGGUAUUAUGCAAGUCUCCACUAAUGAUCCUAGUGCAGCCAUUUACUCUUUGUUGUGAAUGUGAAUAUGUUUUAUCAGAUACCAAUACUCUUGUCUUUUUUGUUUUUCACUCGUGAAGUAUAUUCUCAUAUUUUCUACCUAGAAUUCCCAACAAGAAUUAAGCAUGUUAAUUUGGAGUAGUGUGGAUGGUUUUAUGUUUGAAACUGGAAAAAUGUCGGAGGUUUCACAUGGCAAUAAUUAAUUUCAUUUAAAUAUGUUCAGUAGCUCUUUUAUUCCCAUUUGAGAUGCUCGGGAUCCUAGAUCCAUCUCUUGAGCAUAAGCACAAGAAUUGUCAGUUGAUCAGAGAAUUUCCAUUCUCAUAAAAUACUAUUUCAUUUAACAGAAAAAUAUAAAUACCACCAUUGUUUUGAUCUAGUGCAGCAUAAUGAAGCAAAACAGAUCCCAAAAGUACCCACUUGUGGCACAUGUGAAUUGAAGAUUGUGAUUGCGACGAUUGCAUUUGUAAUUUUCAGUAUGUUCUUGGAGAUUGCAUCUUGUCCAGGUGCAGGUGUGGAGAACCAAAGAUCUUUAUGGGAAGGCCUGAAGCAUCCAUACAAAAUGCUAGUUAUCAUAAAAUAAUAAAAAGGCUCAUGUCAUUCUUUUUAACGAUAUACAUAGUACUGCAAUUCGUAAAUGAUAAAUGAUAUGAUGUUAGCUAAUACAAGUGAGAACAAAUUAUGGUUGAUUAGAUAGCAUAAGAUAGAUAUAAAAGAUGACCUGAGUCGAAAGCAUCAAGAAUGGGUACACGAACAUGAGCUGGAUCCAAACUGGACAUGGCAUGUAAGAAGAAGAUUCUGGCUAUGACAAUCCAGACCAAGUUUAAUGCCUACAAUUUGCUGUCAAAUUUCUCAAAUACUUCUUUUUUUGUAUAAUUUAAAAAAUUGUCAUAUUGUACACAUAGUUGGCUGUGCUCAGCAUUCAUUUAGAUGUCUUCAAGCUUGAUCUACAGGUAGUAUUUAACUGUACAUGUAACUGUUUAAAUAUGGUACUUGUCCUCGAUCCCUAAUACCCAACCAAAAGAUGCCGUUCAAGUUUUUUUGUUCGAGGUAGUCAUGAACAGCUCUAUUGACCAGGUUAUCCAGUUCUUUAUUACCAGAUGAUAUGCAGGCUUAUUAGAUUGGCAAUGAUAAAAAAGGGAAAAGCAGCUUCAUUUUAUGCUGCCAAUCAAGUAAUCAGAAACAUAUCAAUAUCAAUAUAGUCUAGAAAAUGAAGACGAAGGUUGGAAGAACAUUGGGGCAUGCAUGAUUUCUUCUUUAUAUAGAUAGAUAAAGGAUCUAUAGGGAAAUUACUUAGAAGUUCAUUUUGUGCAAUAAUCCUUCCUAUCAAAUAGAAAAGGAUUCAAUGAUCCUGAACUGAUCUUACAGAAGUUGUCUAUAGUUGAUUUCUUCUACAUAAUACUAUUUGAUAGGAUCUCAUCGAUUAGUGCUACAAUUUGAUAGGGCAUCAUCGAUUAGUGCUGUAAGAUCCCGUGCAUUGGAACCCAUGGUUAUGGACCUAUAUACAUUAGUAUGGAACUUUUUUUUUUUUGCAAGUGAAAUCCCUAUGAAAGAAUGAAAAAGUGCUUUCAUUCUUGUGGGAUAACAAGCCUCCAUAUCUUAAUGCAUGUAUUUAAUUUAUUCGAAGCUAUUAGAGCGGGAUCCAGUUUUUAAGAAAUAUGAAUCGAAGCAAUAAGAAUAUUUCUAGUGGAACAUCUUUCAUAAUCCUUGGAGAGAUAAUUCUCUAAUAGACUGAGAGAUAAGUAAUUCGACUCAUUCACUUAUAGAUCAUCAAUGUUUCAUAUUAUGCAAGAAGACAUUGCAUUUGCUAAUUUGAAUUGAAAGGUGAUAUCAAAUCGGUCUAUUUUCGUCAUUGAACAUAGCACAUUCACCAUAGUUAGUAGCUCCAUAUCAAGGUCAUCAUCAAUAUCGUCACUAUCAUCAAUAUCAAUAUCAUCAUUAUUAUCAAUAGCAAUAUCAUCAUUAUCAUCAAUAUCGAUAUCAUUCUUAAGAUAACAUUUAGGCUUGUCAUCCAGGAACUUGUAACUUCUAUUGUGGGUAAAUGUAUUUGGUUUCAAAGCCCUAUGAGCUCUACAUUCGAAGAAUAUGCGAAUUCCCCCUUCUUAUUCCAAGACUUUUUAAGGCUCACCUAUGGCAUUUAAAUUGAAAGAGAUAAGUUGAAUAAGUAUGGUCGUCUUCUAUUGGGAUGUACUAUUAAGCCAAAAUUGAGAUUUUCUGCAAAGAACUACAGUAGAGCAGUUUAUGAAUAUCUACACUGCAUACUUGAUUUUACUAAAAAUGAUGAGAAUGUGAACUCAUAACCAUUUAUGCAUUGCAGAGACCAUUUCUUAUUUUGUAUCGAUGAAAUUUAUAAAGUGCAGGCUGAAAUAGAUGAAAUUAUGAUUAAUCUUGCCAAAGUAAUAGGAAAUAGACCUAAGACACUUCCAAAUAGAAAAUCUUCAAUCAUUUUGAUUUUUUGAGAGGAUAAAAAGAUGAUAAGAUCUAUUCCUAAAUAUUAAUCUAAACUAGGUGUUCCAUGGUUCCUUUCCACAUCAACUGCCAAUUUUUGGUUCUCCAGAUUCACAAAUAACCAAUGAUAAAAAGGUAGGUUUUAUUUAAUUUAGCAUAUGAAUUCGCACCUGAAUCAAACCGUACCUAAUAUUUAUCAGGCUAUUAUUCUCUUGUUCCCUCGAAUCCGUGGACUAAAAAUAUCAAUUUGUCAAUAUGAUCAAUUGUGUUUAUUGCAUAAUGGGCUACCUUAAAAAGUAUUGGUGUGUAAAUGAGGUAACUGAGCUAUAGCCCUUGUCAUAGAUAUAUUAACAUAUGGAUAAUUUCUUAUCAAGAUGGAUAUUCCAAAAUUCCACAUGAUAGCUCUCUAAUCUAUUUACUGCUAACAAAUUGGUAUUACUUAAAAAUGUGUAACACCCAACCCAGGUAAUAAGAAACUAGGCCUAGAUCACUUGACCGGCCUAGAUGCAAAAGUUGGAGUAGGAAACGGAAAAUAAAAGGACAGAGCCCUAUUCGACUUGGGGUAAAAGAUGGAGAAAAAAAAAUAGAGCUCUGUUCAACUUGGAGUAGGAGACAGAUUCCUACUCCAUCUUGAUUUCCUAUAGAAGUUAGGAAAUCUAGGCCCCAUUAGCUAUUUAAAAAUCUCCCACAUCCUCUUUUGUCUUACCUCUGAUAGGUUUUGUCGAUCACUAUUGCUAGACCACCGCUAGCUCCUUCCUCUUUUCUUUUGAAUUCCAACGGUCUUCGCUCACAGUGCUCAUCAGAGAUUUUAAUGAGCACUCGCUGGAAUCAAGUUCUAAAAGGGAUGGUCAAAAUUAUUUGGACCUAUAGUUGGUUUUGCUCGUAAUAAAAGUAAUGUAACUCUUUUUGGUGAUAAAUAACUUAAUUAACUUGGUGGUUUGAGUAUUGCUUUUAUACGGCAGGAGUCAUUAGUUCAAAUCCAAUAAUAUCUAGAACUUGUUGGAUAAGUCAAUUGACUGGUAUCUAAUAAAUUUUUUACCCAUUUUCUUUUUUCAUUAUAUCAGAUUAGACUUGAUUAUGUUCAACUGGAAGAAUCAAAAUAUGGUAUAUAAUAAUACACUUCUAAAGAUCAUCUUUUGAUUAUUUGAUGUAUUGACUUGACCAUGAGGAAAUAUCAUUUACCACCUCUACUUGUGCCUAGCUCGUCUGAAGUUAAAUUCACUUCAAUUGCUUGUCUCUUACCCUGAGAUCUACUCAAGUUUGCUUCAACUAUUUCAAGAGCUUGCUAAGCGUCUUGCGGAUCAAUGUCGGUACUAAUCUCGGCUUCAUUUUCUAUAAUGGUAAUCUUAUUAUUACUCGUUCUAGCGAAACCACCCAUCGGAGCCACCAUUAACUAAUGGUCAUUGAGGUGUAUUCUAAAAAGACCUAUAUCUGCAGUUGUGGAAAUGGGGGCAUGGUUUGGUAAUAUGCCUAUUUAUCCACUAUUAGUAGAUAAAAUAAUUUCUUUUACUUCUGAAUCCUAAAUAAUUUAAUUAGGAGAGAGUACACAAAGAUUGAAGGUCAUUCUUCAAUUUGCUCUCCACUUAUAAGUUCAUAGCUUUUGCAGUAGCUGAAAGAGUAGAUGCCCUAUGAGCCAAUCAUUUGAUGGAUUUCUCUUUGUAAUCCUCCAAAUCAUGUGCUUUGACACUUGAUAUAUCUCAAUAAAGGCAUUGUGUUUUAUCAUUUGCUGCUUAUCUAUUUUAUUGUUAGAUGAUGAACCCCAUAAAUUAGGACAUUGGUUUUAGGGUUAUGAUGAGAUCAUACCAGUGAGACCUAAAAUCCUAAAAUCCUAAUUUAGAAUAUUCCCAGUCAAAUUGGUAUAUUGAGUUGGGGAUCAAUAUUACCGGAAAGACUGGCACAUCUUAUGUAUGUUUGAUGUAGAGGGUGAUUGAUCUUCCAAUCAGGUUAGGUCAACUUGCACCUGCACCUACUGCUGGCUAAGAUAAGGAACCUAAUGGGUCACACACAAUGGAAUUGAUCAAGGGUCUAAUUGGAUUAGAUGAUGUUUGCAAGAUGAACAUGCUAGCACGUGUUGCAAACCCUAGCUCCUGAUUCAAAUUAAAUUCGAAUCUGAUUCUUAGAUUAGGUUGAUCUAAUAUGAUUAGAUCAUGACCUAAUAUGGGUUAGCCAAGAGUUGGAACCCAUUUGGCUUUAAUUAGACAUGAUUUGAUUAGGUUUAAUGUUUCCUUUAAGUUGGUUAAACCCAAUUGGAUUGGGUUUGAUAGGGCCUUCACUUCUGGACCAUUGGAUGGCUUCCUGGAUGAAGGAUCUGGUCCACUGGUUGGCGUCGUUCNNNNNNNNNNNNNNNNNNNNNNNNNNNNNNNNNNNNNNNNNNNNNNNNNNNNNNNNNNNNNNNNNNNNNNNNNNNNNNNNNNNNNNNNNNNNNNNNNNNNNNNNNNNNNNNNNNNNNNNNNNNNNNNNNNNNNNNNNNNNNNNNNNNNNNNNNNNNNNNNNNNNNNNNNNNNNNNNNNNNNNNNNNNNNNNNNNNNNNNNNNNNNNNNNNNNNNNNNNNNNNNNNNNNNNNNNNNNNNNNNNNNNNNNNNNNNNNNNNNNNNNNNNNNNNNNNNNNNNNNNNNNNNNNNNNNNNNNNNNNNNNNNNNNNNNNNNNNNNNNNNNNNNNNNNNNNNNNNNNNNNNNNNNNUUCUGGGACGGGUCGUUGCCGGCGGCGGCCGCGGGAAAGGGAAGACGACCUGUCUUCCUCUUCUUCGGCACCUCCCCACCAUGGGGGGCAGGGGGAGAGGGAGGGGGUGCGACGGCGGGGGCAGAGGGAGAGAGUGCGGCGGCAGGGGGAGAGGGAGUGAGGUUGGGUGGGAGAGGAAGAGACGAUGAGAGAAAGGUUUUUGGGUGGAAUUUUUUUUAAAAUGAGGGUAUUUUGGUCAAAAAUACAGCUUUCCGAAAAAGCUGAAAACAGCAUUUUGGAAAAGCUCCAAAUUGGAGCUUCCCCCCAAAAGCUGUUUUCAGCUUCCCGCAAAAGCUGAAACAGCUUUUCGAAAAAUUUAUCAAACACUCUUUUUUAGCUAAAAGUACUUUUGGAGGGCCAGAAAGUGCUUUUUGGCCCUCCAAAAGCUCCCCCAAACAGGGCCUGAAUUUGAUCACUUUAGCCGAAAAGAAGAUUCAUAUAUGACCUACUUGUCACCAGUAAGCAUGUCUUUAACUUCCAUUACUCCAACUGGAACAGUUGCCUUAAGUUUGAAAUUGAAUGAAAUCAAUCACGUCCAAUAGGAUUGGAACCUAUACGAAGGAUUCAUCACCUCUGUCCUUUCCAGUAGGCAUUCCAGACUUCUUCUUCCAUUUGUCCUACGAAACUUGAUUAGAUUCCAGGACGUUGGAGAAGGCAAACGACAAUGUUUUUUCGAAGUUAUUGCAGCUCAACGAUCCGCGUGAAAUAGAAAACAAAUAAUGACGCUUUUAAAACAUGAAAAUUUAACUUAGAAUCUAAUCAGAUAUGUAUUCUAUUCGAGUAGCCAAACAAGCCCGUAAUCACAGUAAAACUAUUAUGGAAUCACUGCAUGGUUGUUUUUUAAAAAAUACUAAAAAUUCCAUAAUUUUAUAUAUUUAUGACGAGUAAUUUUCUGGGACCUUCAAGUCAAGAGUUUUAUAUAAAACUGGCAAGAGGGAGAGAAAAGUUGACAAAGGAUUAUUUGUGGAUGUGCAAGUGAAUUAUUUAAUCAUUUACCACCUCUUCCAUUUCUAGUUUUCUAAAGAUCAGAUAACAAUGUGGCCAGGGGUUGGCAUUCAAGUUGGACAAAUCAGGUAUCGAUUGGGCCCAAUUCAAGUUGGGCAAGAAGAAGCUCAACCUAAACUGUGCCCAGAUUUGGCCAACCCAGAAAGCUCCACGGUGCGGCAGACGCAUAUCUGGGCUCUUCGGUGGACCGUUUUCGCGAAAACCGACGCAACCCAACAAUUUCUUCCAAGAUGUUCAUUUCCCUCUGGGCUAUCUUAUCCAACGGCCCAUAUUACGUCAUGAACCCAUAUUUUGGGACCAUUGGAUUUUGUUAGCGAGUGGACCAUGUCUACAACCGUCUGGCCUGAUUAGCGACCUUAGAAACGGAUCCGUUUUGGGUAAUCCAAACCCGACAUGAUGACAACCUACCUAAUGCUAAACCUAAGAUUGGAUGAACUUAGUCAUUUCAGGGUUUGAUUAAUGGGCCCGACUUUCUUUUUUUUCUCUCUUCUUUUUUUUUUUUUGCUAAAGCGGAUGGUUCAAACGUCUCCCACUCUGACUUUGUAGCUACCAGAGGAGCUCCAAACUCUAAAAUUCAGACAAGCACACUCUAGAACGACUAAACUCUCUUUAUGAGGUGCUCUCCAAAUAGAUAGUUGGUCAGGGUGGAUCCGACUUAGUUGGCCUGGCGAGCCUAAGGAUUUAGCAGUUCAUCUCGAUUCUUGAGAAAUCCUUUUUAACCGGUUCAAUUUAUCGAACGAAAUCCGAACCGGAAUUGUAGCUCAGUCGAUUGAUAGGAUAGGCCGGCUCCACGGCACGGAGAUGUCGUUACUUGAAUUGUUCCGCGGAGUAGCAGACCAAUGUCUCGUGGCUAUUACCCUGGCCGUUAUUUAGGGGCGAACAAACAAAGAAGCCUUCUCCCCACAUUGGGGAAGCGAGAGCGAUCGAAGCCCGCGCUGCAAAAUUCGAAAGAAAGGAAAGAAACAAGAAAUAGGGUUUCAGGCUCCCAUCGCCAUGGCCGGUGCCGGAGCCAAAUCUCUACUACCAGAAGUGGACACCACCGUCGCCGCCGCCGCCGUUGCGUGCUCCAUUCCCGGCCUCGAACCCCGCCGACGCGGCCACCGAAGCGGUAUCGCUCUCUCUCUUUCCUUCAUCAAACCCCCCCGAUGGACUGGAGUUCGCCUUGGAUUUUCUUCUCUCCCUCUUGCUGAAGGUCGGCACGAUCCACGUGAGUGGGUUCCCGAGUGACCUGAAGGGGAGAGAGCUUCAUCUCCUCCCGAGGUGGAUGCCGAGCUUCACGGUCUCUCUUUUCCAGCCACAAGCACAGGCGGGAUUCGCACUCUUCUCGACCCGCCAGCACGCCGUGGUCGCCUAAUUCUUUCUCAAUGUAAUUUUCCUCUCUCUUCGUUCUUUCUCCCCCAUGACAAUCGUUUUGAUUGCUUCUGGUCUGGUUCUUGGUCUUUGAAUCGAGUUGAAUGUGAGAUUUCUUCGUGCAUUUCAGGGCUUGAAGCUUGAUGGGUCACGGGAUCAUAUAUUGCGCGAGGCGAUGACAAAGAACAAUCUUUGCAUCAGGGUAGGGUUUCGUCGUUUGGUACCCCAUUUACUUUGCUUUUGGUGCAAAGAAUUUUGUCUGAUUCCUUUCUUUUCUUUUUUUAAUAAAUAUUGUGAAGAUUCUUUUCUUUCUUCCCGAUUGCAAGAAUAGUGUGGCAAUUGAUGGAGAUCUCUAUAUUUUUCCCUCUUCUUUCUUCCACAAUAUCAGAUUAUGGCUACCACUGUUGGUCAAGAUAUGGUCUGAUUAAUUUGUCAUGGAAAAAUGUUUGAUAUUCAUGGGAUCCCUUUUUUUAAUGAUAUUAUAAAAUUGAUCAUGUUAUCCAUUAUUGCGCGGGUGGUGGUUGGAGACCAACUAUAUCUUAAUAGCUACAUGACUGUUGUGCAUCUCCUGUUCACGUAUGGGGUAUCCACAAGGAUUAUAACUUGACAUCCAAGCACUCCCUUAAUUUUGUUCAUGCAAUUAGAGACUACAAGUUCUCAUCCUCUUUGUCAAACUAUAGUUUAGCAGUAUAUUUUCCCAAAUAACACUAUCCAACCCCAGCUCAAAGAACUUGGUAAUAUUAUUAGAAUACAAGGGUUUCAAAUUUUUCCCGGUCUCAAAUUUUGCCAAGCAUCUUUUAGCUUCCUUUGGGCAGAUUAUGGAUUUUUUUAGAAUGGAAUGGAGCGAAGAGGUUGUAUAUGCAUAUAAUGCUUGGAGCCAAAUAUUUUUGGACUAUGCUAGUUGACACUGACUGGUUUGUUUUAAAACUGGCAAUGGAUUGUCUGGUAUCUCCCCAUGAACUGAUAUUUUUCUGGUUCAUGUGGAAAACAAGCUUGCAACAACUUGUAUUAGUUGAACUUGUUAAUGAAGUAGUGUCCCAAGCGAUUUGACAUAGUAUAGACUAAUAUAGAAUACUUCAAUUUAAUUUGAAUUGUUAAAAUGCUAUAGAACUUAUUCAAGUGCUCGUAUUUGUUUAGAAUAGGACCAAGUGGGCCCUUGAGAAUAGCUUCAUGCACUAUCUCUCUUCCUUUAAGGGCCUGUUUGAAUGAUUGGACUAAAACUCCUUUGGGAUUUGUAGGUUGGGUCAGUACAGCUGGCAAAAUUAUAAAGAUUACAGGCUGGGCUAGGCCUAUAUUUAUAAAUACUUAGGAGUGGCUUUGGAGUGGGCAAGCUUUUCUCCUUAUGGGAUUCAGGGCGGUCCAUUCUAAAGCUACUCCUGUAUAUUUAUGAAUAUAGACCUAGCCCAGCCUGUAAUCUUAUAAUUUUGCUGGUUGUAUUGGCCCAACCCAUGAAUCCAGUAGAAUUUUUAGCCCAAUCAUUCAAAUAGGCCCUAAGUGAAAUAUGGCAGAAGAAAGCAAAAUCCAUAGACUGAUUCCCUGUAAAAUUCAUAGGUAUUUGAACCCGAGUAUCCAGGAAAAAGCAGAAUAUUAAAUCAAGAAUAGGUCUCCUUUUGAAGAACAUGUUCUACUAGGAAAGGCCUAUAUCCUAAAAUUAAUUCGUCAAGUUGACGAUAAAAUCCAUGUCCUGUUUGUUCUUCUAAUUGAUUGCUUCUAAACUUGGUCCAGUCUUUUCCGGAAAAAGGAUUGAGUUGAAUCGAAUAAAAUAAAAAAUGAGUACCAUACCAUGUAUUUGCAUAUAUCUCUCAUAUGUACAGACCUUACUUAUUUACUUAAUGUCCUUUAGAUAUUUAAAAUGACAUCUUUUGAGCACCAUUCAGACAUAGCGGGCUAUUUGUUUUGACAUAGGUUUGUCAACAAUAACUUCUGCUCUUGCAGCCAUGACUGAUCUGAUCAUACUUCACACCAGAAUUGAUCACUUUCACUUAUGUCUCACUUUCUGUACAUUUCUACAUGAUGAGUUAACUGAUGCAUACAAUUCUCUAAUUUAUAAGUGCCAUGACCAAUUCUGGCUCCUUUAACCAUGCUUGAUGAGCUAUGCAACAUGAUUUGAUCACGUAUCUCUGCCCAGGUACUGAUCUGCUUUGUGGUUUUCUGCAUUCAAUUUCUUGUGUUUUACUUGAAACACCAUUUUUACAUUAGAAGUUGUCCAGGGUUCCAAUGGUACAAGAUACUCUAAAUCCAAGCAGUAUGAACGGUUCUGAUUUCAUCUGUUCUCACUAAAUUAGAUUUUGAUGUGGCUUUGUCUUUAGGUACAUGCCUUCAUCUACUUCUUAUUUCCUUCCUAGGGGCUUUAUGGCAACACAAGCACCUGGCCUACUGAUGUUGACAUACGAGGAUGUAGCACUUCUGUGCCUGGUCAGGUAGCAGCCAUGUUUUGCUUAUUUGACUAUAAUUUCUAUUUCCUCAGUCCCCAAACUGGGAAACAGAAGUCCUUUUGCUAAUAUGCUCUCACACACAAUUUUUGUUUAGUAUAGGUGCUUUUCUCUAAAUACUUGUAAUUUCUUGCGGCCUCUCUGGUAUUCUGAGUCUUCAUUCUCUUGUAGUGCAUUCUGUUUAUAUAGAGUAUGGACCUUCUUAUGCAGAGGAACUUACUCAUUGCUGAGAGUUUAUUGAUAAUAACUAGCUCAAAUUGUACAGAAUGAUGCUCAUUGUUGCUUAAUUAUUUUGUGCUGUAGUUCCUUUUCAUGUCAAUAUCUUCUGCCGCAAUUUUUUUCAGCGCAAUUAACUUCAAAUUCUAAAUAACUUAAGGGUCAUAAGAUCCUAGACCCCCGCCAAUUUUGAUGAGCUAGGGAACAUGUUUUCUUCCUCCUGGUAAUAGUUUUUUUUUUUUUGGUGCUUGUCUAGGCUAAUACUCAUUGAUGCAUUGUAGGGCUAGAUUUGAAAGAAGGCAGUAAGGGAUGAUGUUAUUACAACCUCUUUCCAUGAAUAAUAUAGGUCUGUCAUGGACAAAAUAAUCAGAAACAAAGGUGUCUAAAAUGUUUGAACCUUUUGUUAUUAUGAAGCUUAUGAAAUGCGAAUUCUUAAAGCAUGUCAAACUCAAGGCGUUGCAUGGAAGCAUAGAACAAUAAAUUGGAAUAUCAGUGAGUCAGUGAAUGGAAGGUUCAUUUAGUGCACCCAAUUUCUUAUGUCAUAAAAGUGCAAGGGCAUGAGCUAUUUACCUCAUGGAAAACAUGGCUUUACGUGAAAAACCACUCAUAUCCCAUCUAAACCAGAUGCCCUGUCAGACUAGUUUCAUCUUUAGCAUCCUACUGCAAAUAACCUCCUUACAUAAACAUCCACUGAAGUUUGCACUGGUGUAGCAGAGCCGCAGAGGUCACUGCAGAACCUAUUCUGUCCAAUUGUUAGUUGUAUUUAUUUUGUGGUUGUAAUGCAUGUUGGGUCCAUGUGAAUUCAGUUAUUGGCGUUGUCUUUGUCAUGAAAUAUUAUGUUGGUAGAGGUUUGCACAGAUUGAUUUCAAAUAUAGGGCCCUUGAAUUGAAAUGUUUGUUUAAUUGAAAGGGUCUAGUGUGGCUUGUAAAUAGUGCAGCGGACUGGGUCGUCUCCUAUAUGGCACAUCAUGCUGGAGAGUUUUUUUUGGUGGAUCAGAAAUCGGCUCCUGCUUCUCUUCGCUAUGUAUCUUUCUGAUAUUGUAGGGUGCGCUCACACACGACUAGUGUGAGUAACCGCUGUAGAAAAAAAAAAGAGAGAAGAUUCCAUUCAGUUUGUUUAGAAUGCUUCCUCAAUUUAAAAAAUCUUUCGGCACUGCCCUCCAGUCUUUCUGACAUUAUUUAAAUAUUAAGUUGGAGCAAGUUUCCAUCCUUGCUUCCAUCCAGAAUCUGUUGAUAAAGAUCAACUGCUUGGUUUGCUUGUCGUGUUUUGUUCCAUUGUUUCUAGUGAGCACAAUCCAUGUUUGAAAGAUCCAUCCCAACUAAUCUGCCAUUUGAGUUCUCUUUUAGUGCCAGGCCAUGAUGCAGACUUCCAUUUUCCUGGUCAACUUGUAGUUAGCUCGUGCUUGAAUUCUAGUUCUUUUGUAUGUUCUAUUGACCUCUGAAACAUCGCAUCCUGGAGUAGCUAGCUUCUCUUGGUUUUCAACUUUUCAAGGUUUUGCUGUCGAGCAGAAAUUAAUAGAGUAUGGGUAUGAUAAUCUAAAUCAGUUUUUUAAUUAUCAGAUAUUAGGUUUGAUUAGCUUUACCUAGUUGGUGGACUCGGAGGUGGUGGUGGUAGUUGGAGGUUUCAGUAUUCUUGGUGAUGGUGACCUCUGCAAAAAUUGAACUUAAACAGAACAUGUUGAGUAGUGAGGACAACCUGGUCUGUUUCCUUUCCUUGUUCUCGGGUGAAGUUGUUAUCCUUCGAUGUGGAAUUGGAUAUUUAUGGGUUGCGUUCGUGGUUGGUUUUUUUUUAUUUUAAGGAACAUAGAUUUGCUUCUUCCCAUUUUCUUAUCUAUAUGUUUUUAUAUAAUUUUUUAAAAGAACUUUGAGUUGCAGGCAGGGCAGCUGCAAUCACAAGUACAAGUGCUUGCAAUGCAAACCAUGUCGUUCCCUAAGGCGGCAUCACCAUGAUGGGAGCAAUGGGAUGUUGUUCCUUGGGCCAUGUAACUUUAAGCCAUGGAAAAUUCAUCUUUGCUGGUGAGAGCUUGAUGCAGCAAAAAAAAGGAUAACACUUCAAAAAUUAACAUACAAAUAGAAGCAAACGAGGUCAAAGAAUCUUUUAUUUAAUUAAAAAAAAAUUCAAUUUUUUUUAAUAUAUUAAAAGAAUGCCCUGUACAAUAUAUUUAGAUCUGGAUAUUCAGAACCCAUCUCUAAUUUUUGGUAUUAAAUUCAAUAUAGAAUUAUGUUUGAACAAGACUUUAUAAUAAGGAGGAGUGCUGACUAUUUUUGACAUUGGGAGGCCCAUUGUCUUGAUCAUUUGCCGCCAACAUUAUGGUAGCAAUUAAGAAAUAAGGAGGAGUCCAAUUCAAAUCUUUCUUUAACGGUCAAUAGGGGUGCGAGUUCCACGAGUGCCGACUAUUUCUGACAUUGGGAGGUGCCGCCUGACAUUAUGGUGCGUUGGAUGACGUGGCAUUGGGAGGCCCAUUCAUUGUCUCUAUCAUUGCCCGCCUAACAUUAUGGUGCGUUGGCGCCUUCAUUUAUUAUUUUUUUCCUUCCACUUCAAACUGGUCCCCUCAUGCAGCCUAUGCGUUGGCAGCAAUGCAGUGGGUCGGGGUCGAAUGCAUCGUGGAAAUUAUUGGGGUGUGAUCAUGGAAGACGCUAUUCUGACAAAUAUUGUGAUGUCAACCUUGCAUGACUUGUGAUGUAUGUAUCAACAGUUGUAUCGAAAUCAAGAAAUUAUUCUUUAGGUCCUGUUUGGUAUGAUUUUCUUUUCCUUUUUUUAAUAAACAGAAGCACGGCAACUAAAGCAGGAAACAAGUUUGGUAAGCAUGUUUCUUUUUUUCUUUCAAAAUAUAAAUUUUUAUUAUUUCUGAAAAAGGUUGAAAUGAGAAAUUAUCCUUCGCUCCGGCCUUAUGGUAAAACUCAUCUCUUCGACCACUCUCUCUCUCUACUUUUCUCCCAUGCGGCCUCAUCGGACCGUCUCCCUACUUUCUCCCCUAGAUCUCACGUGUUAGAGCCUCACCGGAGCUCGAUCUCACCACCUCUCCCCGCUUCUCCUCUCUUUUCUCCGAUGAAGAGCAUGAAGGCCAGACCCUUAACCAUCCUCUCCUCUGCUUCUUUUUCUUCUGAACUGCGGCCUCAUUUAGCAAGUUGCAGAAUCAAUGAAUGUUAGAGAACUAGAAUUGCUUAGGUCUAGGUAUAGCAUCCUUCAAAUCAUGUUCUGGUGGAGCUUCUUACUUGGUAGAAGACCUGUGGAUGGGUGAGAGGGUAAAGGGUGCAGGGACUUGGGGACAUGGGGCUGCUUCAGAUGAAGUCGAUGUGGCAAUUUGGAAUGAGGUCCAAGAGAAACAACUUGGGGUGGUUCUUGAGACACCAUGCAAAUGCAUCAGCUCAGAACCGCGGCACAGGCCCUCACAGAGUUGGGUCUGAUGCCUGAUUCUCUUAAACCAUUGUUUCAUCUGGACUGAUAUUUUCACUUUGCAUCCACAUAUAUACUAUUACAGCAUUGUUAUGUUUUUAAAACAUUUUAACAGUCAUGGAGUUUUGAAUUUGGACUGGUUAGGCAUGAUGUCUAUUACUCAUUGUAAGUCUUAAAAGUAGAUGAACUAGAGAAUAGCAGAGAAAAUAUAAUUGCUUUGAAUUUUCACUUUUGCUCUUACCAAACAAUUUUAUUUCUGUUGUCAGGGAAAAAGAAUUAGUAACUAUGGUACAUGUUUCUAUUAUCAGAAAUCUGGUCCAUGUUUCAUCUGUUCUCCUAUUUGCUAAUGAAUUAUCAUCACUAAUUAAACAGAUAGUUAUAAUCUGCUAAUGCUAUUUCUUUCUAGUAACUGUUUCUUUUGCCUAAUGGUGCUAUCCUUGCCUGUUACAUGCGUAAUUAUAUAUGAAUAAGAACAGAAACUUUAUGUUCUUUAUUUUUGUUAUGUGAAUUCCUUUGCUGGUAAGCUCUUAAAAAUUUUCUUUUCAUUUUUUCCCUUGCCCGUUUGGCAAACUUAAAACUUUUUUUUCGAGGAAAUUGCUAUUCCUUUCUAGUAACUGUUUCUUUUGCUACGUGGUGCCAUCCUUGUUUGUUAAUUGCGACUUCGAACGACCGGCGUGAAGUGUGAACCCUAGCGCCCAAUGCCCAUUGGGUAAUUAAUUGCGACUUCCAACUACUUUUUAUUGUCUCUCUCUCGCUCGCUCGCUCUCUUGCUCUCUCUGCCCUUAGUGCUCUGCUCGAUGUUUGCCUGCCCUGACGUACCCGUGACCUGCCUGUCGGUCUGUCUGUCGCUAAACGAAGUUACAUCGUGUUCUUAGAAGAUAGACAGAUGACGCUGCAUCCACCGCAUGAUAGUCUGAACGCCUCUUUCCAUCGUCGCUUGAAGUUGAAAAACGUGUGCUGUUUUACUGGAAUUCCAAAAUACUAGAGAUUUAAAUGCCUCGUAGAGUUGGUUUACACUAGGUUGUAUGAUUCUGUCCCUCUCUAAUCUUGUCUCUCGGAUUUUGUGUGUUCGAGCGGCAAGAACCCUGGAGCGAGGAGGUAACGAAAGUGAAGAGCUUUCCACUAUUCGAGCACUAGAAGCGCUCCGACAGAAGUAAAGAUCCCUCCUUUUCCUUGGAUUUUUUCUGUUCUUGUGAUCUUUUUGAGAAACGGGAUCUUUUCGUUUGAAUCACUCAACGCUUUUCUUGAAUUACAUUUCUUUUUAGUUGCCAAUAGCUCUCUUUUGCUCCCGUGGUAUGUGUUAAAUUUCCAUGCGAUUGCUUGUAGUAACUCUUGAAAUUAAGGUAGUCAAACGUGUCCUCCUCCUCAGAUUUCCUCAAGUCUGUCGGCCUUCACAGAGUUAGUUCUUUUCUUUUGGCAUUGCUCCAUGACUCUUCCCGCAGCAGUAACCUAGCGCUCUCAUCUUCUUUGUUUUUCUUAUUCUUUUCUUUCUUUCUUUUCUUUUUCUUUUCUUUUUUCUUUUGUCUUAUAUUGCUUAUUAGUUAUAUAAAACAGCUGUGUCAUCCGGAAUAUCUCUUUUUCUGCUGAUUUUCUAUUUACUGUUUUCAGUUUUAACAUCAACAGCAAAAAAAUAAUAAUAAUAAAUAAAUAAUACAAUUCUUUUUAGCUUCUUCAAAUUUUUUCCACAUCUACGAGAUGGGUUAUCUUCUUUGGCAUUGCUCAUCACUGCUCCUGGCUUUGCUUCCACUAUCCUUCGGUUUGACCUCCGAUGGAACAGCCCUCCUGGCCCUCACCAAAAGCCUGAUCUUACCGCACUCCAUAAAUUCCACCUGGAAAUCUUCUGACCCAACUCCAUGCAAAUGGGUGGGAGUAAGUUGCGACAAGAGGCGCCAUGUGGUGUCUCUCGAUCUUGCAGAGAGAGGGAUUUCAGGCACAUUGGGACCGGAGAUAGGACUGCUGCGACAUCUGCGGACGGUUGAUCUUGGUGUCAAUGAUCUCUCUGGACUGAUCCCACCAGAAUUGGGCAAUUGCACCCUGGUGGAGCACUUGGACCUCUCGAUUAACUUCCUUUCUGGUGAGAUACCGGAGACCCUCCAAAACUUGAAGAGGUUGUCUUAUCUAUCCCUUUACGGAAAUUUCCUUACUGGAAAAAUACCAGAUCCUCUGUUCCGAAUUAAGUAUCUGGAAACAAUUUAUCUCAAUCAAAACAAUCUCACUGGCUCGAUCCCUCAUACUGUCGGGAAUAUGAGCAGGGUCAAGGACCUUUGGCUGAGUGACAAUCUCUUGUCAGGUGUCUUCCCUGAUUCAAUUGGAAACUGUACCAAGUUAGAACAGCUCAAUCUGUUCAAUAACCAGCUGACCGGUCCUCUUCCAGAAACUUUAAAUAGCAUCAGAGGGCUUAAAAUUUUGGAUGUCCAUAGUAAUAAUUUCGGUGGGAGGAUUCCUUUUGGUUCAAGCAGUUGCAAGUUGGAACAGCUAAUUUUGUCAUUUAACCGAUUGGAAGGUGAGAUCCCAGCAGGGUUAGGAAAUUGCAGUAGCUUGACGGUCUUUAGUGCUGUUGGCAAUGGACUGUCUGGUGAGAUACCAUCUUCACUUGGUUCACUGACCAAGCUUACAAUACUUUACCUAUCUGAAAACUCUUUGUCAGGAUCCAUUCCAGCAGAGAUAGGGAAAUGUCAAUCACUGAGGGCAUUAGAAUUGUAUGAGAACCAGCUAGAAGGGGCUAUUCCAAGGGAACUGGGUAAGUUGUAUAAUUUGACCAAGCUCUUUCUGUUUGAUAAUCACUUGACUGGAGAGGUUCCUAUAGAGAUUUGGCGCAUCCGGAGUCUUGAGCAUGUUCUAAUAUAUAAGAACAAUCUCUCUGGGGAGCUGCCUUUGGAGAUGACCGAGUUAAGAAAUCUGAGAAACAUUUCUCUGUUCAAUAAUCGGUUUACAGGGGUCAUACCUCAAGGUCUGGGUAUCAAUAGUAGUUUGGUGCAGAUUGAAGUCACUAACAAUAGCUUUGUUGGUGGAAUACCACCACAUAUCUGCUUUGGAAAAGAACUUAGACUUCUCAACUUGGGAUUUAAUAUGCUCAAUGGUAGCAUGCCUGUAGGUCUUGGGAACUGUUCAACUUUGCGGAGGUUGAUUCUUCGUAAUAACAACCUCACAGGUUCCAUUCCAGAAUUUGUGGAAUCUUCUAGCCUGUCAUAUAUGGAUUUAAGUUUCAAUAAUUUGAAUGGGCAUGUUCCUCCUAGCCUGGGAAAUUGUGGAGACCUCGCUAUGAUAAACUGGUCAGGGAACAAGCUUGUUGGUCCAAUACCUCAAGAAAUUGGAAGGCUAGCAAAUUUACAAGUUCUGAAUCUUUCUUACAACAAUUUAUAUGGUAUGCUGCCUCUGGAGAUUUCGCACUGCAGUAGAUUGUAUUUGCUGGAUUUGAGUUUCAAUUCUUUGAAUGGCUCAAUCCCGCCAAGCUUAACAAACUUAACAGUGCUCUCUCGAUUGAUACUGCAAGGCAAUCAGUUCAGCGGAGGGAUUCCAAGUUUCCUGUCACAAUUUGACAGGCUACUGGAGCUGCAGCUUGGGGGAAAUAAAUUGGGAGGCAAUAUCCCUUCAUCAUUGGGUGCACUACAGAAUCUGGAAAUAGCUUUAAACCUCAGUGAAAACAGACUGGCAGGUCAGAUUCCAUCAGCAUUAGGGAAUUUGAAAAGAUUACAGAGCUUGGAUUUAUCUCUCAACAAUCUGACAGGAAGCUUAAAAUCCUUGGAUGAUCUCAGUUCGCUGCUUCAAGUGAAUGUUUCGUUUAAUCAAUUUAAAGGUCCACUACCAGAAAAAUGGUUGAAGUUUCUGAACUUGUCACCAAGCUCAUUUAUGGGAAAUCCAGACCUUUGUAUCUCUUGUCAGGCAGAUGAGUUGUCUUGCACAAAUACGACUACUUUAAAACCCUGUGGUCCAUCGAGCAAUUCUAGAGGCCUUAGAAAGAUUAAGACCGUGAUGAUAACUCUUGGCUUGUUACUUGUCGGUGUCCUGGUAUUUCUUUUGUUUGGAUUUGUUCUCUUCAAGUGUAAACAGACAACAAAAGAGGAAGGACCAUCUUUACAUGAGGGUUCUUCUUUCCUGCUGAAUAAAGUAAUGGAAGCCACUGAGAACUUAAAUGAGAAAUUUGCUUUGGGGAAAGGAGCUCAUGGAACUGUUUACAAGGCUUCAUUGAGCCCAGAAAAAGCUUAUGCUGUAAAAAAGCUUGAUUUUGCAGGCCACAAGGGAACAAGUACAAGUAUGGUGAGAGAAAUCCAAACGGCUGGACAAAUCAGGCACAGGAAUCUGGUGAAACUGGCAGACUUCUGGCUGAGAAGUGACUAUGGGUUGAUAUUGUAUGACUACAUGGAGAAUGGAAGCCUUCAUGAUAUUCUACAUGAGAUAAAACCAGCUCCAGUUUUAGAGUGGAAUGUGCGUUACAGGAUAGCUCUUGGAACUGCUCAAGGGCUGGCAUAUCUUCACAAUGACUGUAAUCCAGCUAUUAUUCACCGUGAUAUUAAACCUAAGAACAUACUCUUGGACUCAGAGAUGGAGCCACAUAUCUCAGAUUUUGGCAUUGCCAAGCUCAUGGAUCAACUUUCUGCCUCUCUUGAUUCCACUGCCAUCACGGGCACCAUUGGUUAUAUGUCUCCAGGUACUCUUCUAUUGCCAAGGACUUGAUGAUGCUUUUAUUUGAAUUCCUGUACCUAUGGAUUAGCUGUACUCUUCUCAUUGCAAUGAUAGGAGAUACUAUUUCUUCAGUGUAUUGCUGCCAUCAGAACGACCUUCCCCAUCAUAUAUGAGUAUGUUGGUAUUUAAUGGUUAUGCGGACAAGUAUAACUUAUUAAUUUUCCUCCUUAUAAAAACUUGAUAUACAAAUCUUCCAAGCCACCUAGAUAACAUCUGUUAAAACUACCAUCAGCUCUUUAUGCAUGAAAGUAAAAAUCUCGGUUGGAAUCAUAUGUUGAAGUUGUACUGCCAUGCCUUGCAACAGAAACUGCAUUUACAACCAGAACAAGCAAGGAAUCAGAUGUCUACAGCUAUGGAGUAGUCUUGCUUGAAUUGAUAACCAGAAGGAAGGCCCUGGAUCCAUCAUUUCCUGAAAACACAGACAUAGUAAGGUGGGUAAGUUCAAUGUUGAAUGGCAGUGAUAAAAUUGAAGUGGUUGCUGAUCCAGAUCUCAUGCAUGAAGUUGUUGGCUCCGUGGAAAUGGAAGAAGUAUGCAAAGUACUUUCAUUGGCUAUGAGAUGCACAGCUAAGGAGGCAAGUGAGAGACCCUCGAUGUGGGAUGUCGUUAAAGAGCUAACGGAUAUUAUCAAGUCCAAAGCUUGUAAUUUGCCUAAACAGGGAAAGUAUGGAUCUGUGGUACCAUAGGUAUUUGCUGGGACUUUUGGGUACUCUCAUCGCUUCAUCCACCAGAUUAUUAAACUGUUGUUAGUGAGCGUAGUAAAAUGAGAUAGUUUGGUGUACAAACGCUGAUAAUAUGCAUGGAUCAGAGAAAGGUUCUGUAUCAUCAUAUUUUGUAUUCGACUCUGGAAUAUGUAGAAACAAAUUCUAAAAUUGCCUUAUUUCUUGGAUGUGAUCAUAUGUGGUGCGGUACCGGUGUUUCUUGUAAAUUCUCUGUAUAUUAUUAAUUUUUUUGUGCAUAUAUUAUUCUUCUAGCCAGUGCUGGACUCUGAGCCCAGUAAUUAUCUGGUUAUGAACCAAUAGGAAUGAUUAUAGCAGGUGUAAUCGGCUUAAUCUAGGUUCAAACGUCUAUUUGUUUAGCAAGGUUUUCCAUCUGGUCGGGGCCCCAGAUGGAACAGUAUAAUGCUGGCAAGUUGCUACAAUAUUCUUUCAAAUAAAACUUCCCUAAGAUAUCGCUACCAGAAACACCUCUUACAAGAAAGAAAAAAAAGAAGGGGAAAAGAGUUCUCUUCAGAUGUGUAUAUAUAAAUAGGGCUUCCAAUGAGCCAUGUGAUAAGAAGAAAUUGGUGCAAACUCGUUGUAUUUGUUGCAAUACAUGGAUGGGCAACUGAUGAUGAAAUUACCAAAUAAGCAUUUUUCAUACAUAAUGGUUAGCCGUUAUACCUCCUAUCACCUCCACAGAUAUGGCCUACAGGCUUGCAUCCAUGCGGUGACCAUGUCCGUGCUAUAAAAAGAUGGAGCAUAAUUAGGACCACCACUAUAUUCAUUCUUUUAAUUUCUUCGUUUAGUUUGCAAGUCGCCUUUCUAUGUUAAAUAUUUUGUUUAAGUGUAAUGAGUGUGUAACAGCAGUUUAAUGUCUGUUCAUAAAAAAGAUAAUGUUCGGAAAAACAAGUAUUGAGCUUUAUGACAUCUCCAGAAGAAAUUAGUGCAUCUAAAACACCGAUAGAAACGGUGGGGAAUACCGUAUAGGCCAUCAAUUCUUUCACAUGGAGCUUCAAGCAUGACUUUCAAAGAUGACUUACCAGCAAUGCAAACAAUGUCAAAUUGGAAUGUUAUUUAUGAGAUUAUAACCUGUAAAAGGAAUGGAUAACAAGAUAGCUAUCACAGGGAUCAAUUUACCUUCAUGAAUAGAUUCCAGAUAAAUGGCAACAAUAACAAAAUAUUAAUAAGAACUUGACCUGGAUAUAUAAAAUAAACUUAGUAUAGGCGUAGCCAUCAAAACCAUUAUCAUAUUGUUCCUGGAGAACCGUUGAACAGCCCAGACUGUCAGAUAAUCAAGUUACCCUACUUUCACAUGCAUGAUAACCUCGUGAGACAGAUUGACACAUUCAUUGAUAUGAAGAUACUUUGACAUGUGAUACCAGCCCUAACACUCUUUCAUUCCACGAUGCUAAACUUAACCUUGUGAGGUUUCCAGCCACAAUCCUUCUUCCUACUCAAGCAUAUCAAUUUCAGUACCAACAGUUGUAACGCUUCACGCCAUGAUGCUAAGCCUGCCAAGUUUCCCUCCACAAUCCUUCCCCCUUCCUACUUGAGCAUAUCAAUUUCAGUACCAACGGUGAACAAUCAUUUGUUACAAAUGUGAGGCAGUCCUUCACAGAUUUUUGCCAUAGCGGAACCCAUUGUGGUUAGCAGAGACACACAAAUGUGAGAAAAGGAAGAACCACCAUAUCUCAAGAGUUGGCAAUGAUACAAAACAGCAGUUGCUUUAAAAUGAUUUCCAUUCCUUAAAUCUAAGCUUUCAUAUUCAGACCAGACACCUACCAAAUCACAAGAAGCUUAUUGGCACUAUAAAGCUAACGUUAUCACAUUGCAGAUAUCACUUGCAUUUGUGAAACAAACAUGGCAUAAAGAUGAAACAUCUGAAGAUCCUGUUCAACCAUAGGUGAAGUUUAGGAAGAAGAACCAAUCAAUGACAUUAGAAUGCUGUACAUGACUCGAUGAGCCCAUAUACAUGAUGAGAUGAUAGCUGAACUUAUAUCAACUUUAAGCGGUAAGAAUCAGCACUCUCCUAAGGCAAUUGUUCCUGGUAGUGACUUAAGACAGGAUUACAGCUUGCAGAACUGCACGCUGUUUCAUGGUCGCAUGAAAUGAUCUUCCUCUAGGUAUUACUUUCCACUUAUCAUAAGCGACUGAAAAGGAACCCUCCUAAUCACCACAUAAGUUGAGAAGUCUUUCAGAAUUGGCUGUUUCCAUGGCUCCCCAUCCAUUUGCAGAUAGGCCUGUUUCCACUGGCCACCUCUGAUUUCCAUCUUAAUUGCAGCAGCCUGAAAGACACCAGCAGUUUCUUUACAAAUAUGUCACAAGCUUUAUUACAACCAUCUCGAUUUUGGUAACAAAACUAUUUAAAGUAUGUUAGCAACAAUUGGUCACUAAAAAAGCAUACAUGAAGUUCUUCGGAAAAAGUACUGAUGCUAAUAAUUUUUUAAAAAUAUGUCAUCAUGCUAUUCAUAUAUAGAAGUUUAUUUUAUUCUACUUUAAUAAUAAAUUCUUAAAGAUCUCAUGGCAUGACAAAAAAAUAUGGCGUUGAUUAUCAUUUAAUUAACAAUUUUAAUUAAGCAAUCAUGACUUCUGGUAGCUUCACAAGUGGCAAAUUUGCAUCAAGAGUAAUCAAAAUAAAAAUACUUCUGCACCCUAAACAGUCUUGGAAUCUUUUUUCUAUUUCUGAAUUUCUUCAAGUUCUAUAUGCACAAUGAAUUCUUAGAAGUUAUCACUGCACAACAAAAACGGAGUGUUGAUUAAUAUUGAAUUGGAAACUUGUCUUUCAAUUUAUACAAAAGUUUAUCUCAUAAAAUUCAUCCCCUAGCAUUAACUUUCAUGAACUUUUGUCAUGAUAAUAAUUUUCCAAGGUUUUCCCUUACUCUUCAAAAAUAAUUUCAAGGGGUCGACCCUCCAAACCAACUGGAUGGAUUUCUCAGAAACAAUAGUUACAGAUUUCUCAAAAGGAAUAGUUUUAAGUGGUUUGAAGGCAUUUCACUUUAAAUGAGCUAUUGCAAUUGCACUUUCAUUUGAGUAACAGUAAUUACAGACUAUCAAUUUUUGAAUAAAAUCACUAGUUACUUGUUAGUGCAUUACCCAAACAAGUAAAUAACAGGGAACACUAUUGGUAGUGGUACACAACAGAUGAAGCUAAUACAUUCUAAUUUUCUUGGACAGUUGGACAAGAUGCGUCAGUUUUCACUUUAUGUUCUUACUUAAAUGCUGCAGGGUGAAACUGUCAAAAUAAUGCUGGUACCUGAGCAAUGUGCUUGGCAGAAAUGAGUUCAGUCAUAACAAACGAAGCAUGCCAACCUUGCUUUAUUCCAAAUAUUUCAAGUAGACCAUCAUCUGCAUGAGCCUCAACAAAGCCUCUCUGGAAAAAAUAGAAAAAAAAAGGCCAGUACAAGAUUUUAGUUAUGCAUACAAGUAAAUGUCAUGAACAAUGGGUGUAGGAUAAAGGAAUAGAAACCUGGACUUGCAUUCCAGUAAAUACAUCUCUUUCUCUCUCUCUGUGUUAGUAGAGAUGGACCAACAAGGAGAGCAUUCUUAGAGAUGCUUCUAAAAUAAUAGGUACUCCUUUUGCAAUUACAUAACCUUACAUGUUUUUGAGGUAAACAAACUAAAAAAACUGCGCUUAUGGAAAAGAAGAGUUCAUCUAUUUAUAUAUUUUUUUCAGUUAAGACGAUACAGGCAUCAUGAUUUCAAACCUAGCAACCAAGUGCUUUGGGUUAUGUACAUAAUAAUUUGGGACUAGGAUAUGAAGCUAAGAACAAAGCGACCCAAAAUGACCAAUUCAACCAAAUCUAGUCCAAAAAGGGGGCUCUAUCCAGAAAAGUUAACAAGUACGACUCUCUCUACAAAAUGCUCCAUGCUAUCUAAUUCUUUUGAAGCUAGGUACAGUUCAUGUGUCACUCAAAUUUAUAAGCAUACAGGGCUUAGAUAGUCAGAACCAACUGGCAAACAUUACUCUGUAUUUUAGAUUCACAACAACUAAUAAAAUAUAGAUUAGCUCUUAGGCCUCUGGCACAAAUAGCUAAUAAGGAAUAUCCAUUUAGCUGAUGCAAUAUAUGAUAUUAUUCUUAAUUAGGUGUUGCGGAAAUAGCUAAUAAAGAUUAUUCAUUUGACCUCUGCAUUAUAAUGUAAUUAUCAUUAAUUAGGUAGUGAAACAAUGAAAAUCUGGGUUUCGCAUAUAAUUGAAUUAACAUCCUCGAAGUCAAAAUGGACAGAUAUCAUCCAUCACAGAGUCACACAGUACAUUACUCAACAAUAUAUGAAAUCUUGUAACCAAGAACUCUUUCUAUUAAGAAAUCCAACUGCGAACCUUCUCGAGAUAGUCAGGGUCAGGUCGGCCCCAUGGAUGUCUUCCACUUGCAUAGUUUUGAAGAUUUAAAGCCACAAUUGCCCUGACACUGCAGCCAAAAACCUUAUUGAAGUUACAUUGGGGAGGUGGGGUGCAUCAAACUAAUAAGGAAGCCUUCCCAUAAUUGUUCAACAAUUAUCAUACUAAUGAAAAUUUAUAAAUAAAGUUUUAUUUAGAAAACAAAUAAAAGCAUGUAUUCCUGAAUUGAUCUACAUUAAUUUACUUAUAGUGUCGUUAUACGAUCUUAGACCAUUCAGGCAGUAAGAUGAAGAGAAGUUAUAACUUGCCUUGAGGGAACCAGAAUCUGCUCCCAAUCUGCACAAUUGGCCCUUUUAAUGUAAAGUCGUAAAAUGUUCUUGAGACCCCUGUUAAAUAUUACAUUCAGAAUAACACAAAUUUAUUAAGCAGCACUAUCUUCCAGAUUGCUUUAUUGAGAAGUUGCACAAUUAAUAUGCACGAGAACACAAGCAACCGCAUAUUAAGAAAAAAGAAAACUUCAACCCUCCAUCCUUUAUUACAAAGAUUGAAGGCCACAAAACUCAAAGCAAAGAUAAGGAACAAUGCAUUUUUAAAGAAUACGAGAUUUCCAGAAGUGAUUCAGCAAAUUUUGAGAGAAGAAAGCAGAAGCACAACUAUAGCCAUAACUCCCUUUUAAAGAAUACGAAGAUUUCCAGAAUCCAUAAUUCUUCUUUCAUCUCUAAGCUAAACGGAGCUGGCCAUCCAAAGUAAAUGCUCAGAUUCUGAACACACCCCAAAUUGGUUUUCUUGAAGGUUCAUUGAUCCCCUCCAAUUUGCACAUCACAUAAUAUGCAAUAUAAUGCUCCUAAUUUUCCAAUCUUCAUAUUAAAAAUAUAAGAAACCAUAUGCUGUUAAUCAUACCAUCAUUCUUUGAGACAGCAGAAUGUGGAUACUCUGUAGGACCCAGCAGCAUAGCACCCAAUAUACAAUAGAAGGAAAAGCACCCAAAACAAGAAAAGGCUCAUAAUAUAGUGCUUGUAUUUUUUUUUGGUGAUGCAUAUAGUGCUUGUAUUAGGUUGAGAUCUUCCAACAACGAAAUCCAUGAGGACAAGUAUGUACUCCACCAUAUACAAUAAGUCGAAUCAUUGUAAAAGAUCCAGAGUAGGAGUUAGUUCGACACACACAUCAAUACUUUCAUCACACCCUUCCUGAAAUUUGCUUUUAAGGACAUCUUAUUGUGAUAACUAAUUACUUGACCCUGGAAGCUUGAGCUGUCGUGCAAUGGAUCAAAAAAUUUUAUGAGGCUUAACACCUCCCUCAUGUCCAGUUUAAACCACGAAUGUGGAGAGAGAAUGAGACAAGACAUGAGACAAGUCCAGAUAACAGGCAAGUUAAUUAAAUAAACAAUCCAACUUGGAGGUGAUUCCAACCCACCGCUUUCAAUACUAAGAGGCUUUUAGUUGACUGCAUUAGAUUGUACUAUAACUUUUACACAAUUUAAAACUCAUUAGUUUUCAAAAGCUACUCUCUAAAGGACUGGAAUAUGCAAUGUUAGCUUAUACAUUGUGCAAGUUGUCAGACAAAUCUAACUGGCUCAAGAUAUCUUUUGGUGUUGCUUAAGAAAGAUAGCAAUAAGCAGACAUAAUGGAGAUUUCAAAAAUGCAACUUUUAACACAAAAUAACUUCCAAUCAGAGAAUGCAGAAAAAAAAUUUAUAAGAAUGCAACAUCCUUGAGCAAAGCAUUCAAAUGACAUACCUAAGUAGGACUACAACAUCUAAAUCAUACCGUGUUACUAUAAUUAUAAUUAAACAGAUUAACUGAUCUUAAAUUUCUUCUAGCAUGCCUAACAAAUGAUGAAAUUCUACAUGAAUGUCAAUAAAAUUUCUUGUCUAGGAUGAGAUAAUGUACUCAUCGUGUAUAAAUUAAGAAACCUCCUGUUUAGAAACUUGGUGUAGUUUAAGGAAGGCAAGACUAAAUAGCAUGACUAAGACCCACAUUGAAAAAAUACUGGACUAAUCACAUUCCAUAAGGAAAGAGUCAUCUCCUCUCUUUUGAAGGUCAUGAGAUGCUUGUCAAAAAGCAAACAGAGAAGAAUCUAUCUUUUGGAGGUUACAUGAAUAUGCUAUCAAGUUUGGCAAUGCAAAUGAUAUGGUUGUAUUGGUGCAUUACCAUUAAGUUGGUCCACAGGGCUUGAAGAAGUGGAAUGCUUUCUUCCAUCAAAAAACUGAAUAAUGAGAAAUUUAGGAGAUGGACCUCACUUUUCCACAUUUUUUGGGUGAAAUUAGAAGUAAGGAUUAAACAUGGAUGAACAUAAAGGUGGGGUUCAUAGGGACAUUGCUCAUUUUUCUUUUCUAGGUGUAUUGUCAACUUGUAGUUGGAUCAUGGCUAAUAACUAUUUUUAAUAACUAUUAGUGCAUCUAGGAAUGCAAGGUACGAGAACCUUUAGUUCCAUUAUGCCCAAUAACUAUGCUGAGAACCAUAGCAAGGUGGCAGCAAACUGGAUGAUAGAUGUCUUCUGUACGAGAAAAGAAAAGAUUUAAAUGAAAUAAUGAUAUGAAACUUAUGUUGUCACUUUUUCCAUCAAUCAACUUUGUGCAUCACCUACAUAGUGGUUGUAAGCAACAAAAAGGUUUACAUGAUAACUAACAUGUAAAACAUAUGGAAGAACAUCCCAGCUGUGAAGUAUAUGGAAGAAUAGUAAGGGAAAUACAGAGUAAAUGAUUGCUCCUUAUCUCAUCAUGAUGAUCUUUGAAACUUCAUAUUCCAACAAACAAUUCAUGCUUUGCAAAGGAGUGGCAUGUAAAAAUUAUGUCUGGUCAAGGGAAUAGUUGAUUGCAUGGACAUCUCCAUUGCUAUUUGUGGAGUUCAUUUUUAGUUUCAUGUUCCAUUUACUUAUAUAUUGUUAUUUACUUAUAUCCUAAGGUGCCCCUUUCUUGUUAAGGGUCUGAAACCAUAUCUUUUGUACUCUUCUUACUGUACUUCUCUAUAUAACUUCUCCCUGUUUACAAUACCUAGAAUGCUUUGCAAUUCAUUCAAUAAUACAAAUAUAGUAAUGUAGUUUAUAUGAUGACACAACAAAUGAAAGACUUCUCAUAAUUUUAUUUCCCUUAAGAGAUAUGGUGUGUGCAUGCAGACACACGCAUGCACGAGCGCUCACUGCACAUGCGCGUGUGCAUGGACACACACACACACACAGAGAGAGAGAGAGAGCAUGAUUGGAUGUAAGUGAUGAUAAGUUUAUAUGAAAAAAAAGUGAGUGAUUAAUAUCUAACCUUAAGCCUGGAUCAUUCACACAUGGUGUACAGAACCACCCCUGGGUACAGCUAUAGCUGGAGUAAAUCAACUGAAAUAAGAAGAAACUCAAAUGAUAUCUUGCAUUUUGACAAAAAUUGAUAAUCAAAGUCUCAAACUUCAUAUAACCUGAUUAGUAUAAUCUAAACACAGAAAAGAAGAAAAUCGAACAACAAAUAUAAGUAUGGAAUUAUUUUAUAUGGCUGACAAAGUAAAUUAGUUAAGGAGUAACCAGAGUUGGGUGUGAAGAUAUUCUAGAUAGUUUGAGCAUGAAUGGCAUAAAAUCCAGAAGCAUACCAAUCAGAUGAAAGGAUACUUUGACCUCCCUUGGUAGGUGGGAGGAGGUAUUUGAAUUAACAUCCUUAACCUUGGAACUACAUUUGCAAAACUUUUAGCAACAACAAAAGGUACUAACCAGGAAAAUGUUUUCUAUAUUCUUCAAUAUCCAACAAAGAAACAUGCAAAAGAUAAGAGGCAGACCUAUUCUAUGAAUACUAAUAUAUGAGAGGUGUGAGAACUAGCAGAUGGAAAUAAUAUUCACAUAGAUGGGUCCAAGCAGAAUUAGGUGCAGAGAAGAUGAGCCAAAUUCGUGAAUGUGCCUGUCACUGUAAGAUAUAGCUCAAGGUAAAUCUACAAGUAGAAAAAGCUUGGUCACCAACAUGGUGAGAUAUGCCCCAAAAGAUAGAGCAUUCUAAACUACAAAAUAUAUGUAUAUACCUAUGCAUUAUUGAACAUAGUUAUCUCUAAGCUAUUGCUCAAGGUAAAUAUACAUGUACAAAAAUAAUGGUCACCACUCACCAGCAUGGUGAGAAUAUUAUAAAAAAUAUAUCAAAUAAUAUCUGGAACUACAUAAUACAUAUAUAUGCUUCAACAUGCAGGUUUCAGGUAAGGCCAAAAGGCCAAGAUGAGUAGAAUGCACUCAAACCAUCAGUAAGAAUAACAUUCCCUGACAAGCAGGACUCUCUUAAAAAUAUAAAAUUGGGAAGGAAAAUCAUCUUUGAAAGCAUACUUAGCAAAUUUGCAUUUCACAGUUAUCAAUAGUGGAUAUAUGUGCAGGUCUUGGUAGAAGUUGGCAACCUAUAACAAUAAAUAAGAAAGUAAGAAACAUGCAGCAAGAGACGAUAUUCAUUUUUAUGUUAAAAAACAUGACCAAGUCUCAAGUUUUACUCAAGAUGGUAUAUGAAUACUUCUUGCCAAACCCCCACAAUUUGUUCACCUACUUGAGGAUAAAAAAACAGUCCUCUAGGCCCAAACAUGAGCAUGAUAUGGUCAUUGAGUCAUGAGUUUGUACUCUGAAAUCAACACAAAACAUUAGGGUCCGACUACACAUUAUUCACUUAAGUAGUUUCUCCGGUUCCACAGAAAAAUUGGGUUUAGCAUAUGGAUAUAUUUGAGAGACUGCCUGCAAAGAAGAGUCUUUAGAGGGAACAAGUAAUCACAGCUGGUCCAUACUUUCCCUCCGCAAGAACUUAAAAUGCAGUGCACCUAUCCUAUUGCUGCCCCUAGUUAUGGCACCAAAGUAGGAAGAAACUAAUAAGCCUUCUCUCAGAUCACAUAUUCAUAUUCCACAAAAAAUGCAAGACUAGUGGGCAGGCUAGAACUGCAGUUGCAAUUGCAAAUGCUAAUCACUUCAGGUAACUUAGAAGAUAAUGUAGCACCAGAAUAAUUGCUAAGACAUUUUCUCAACCUUUUCCAAAAUCAAUUACCUAACCUACAAACUCCAAUCUGAAGAUGGGUCAUUUCCGGAACAUUCUAGAAUAUUAUUAAAGUUAAAACUUUAUAAUACCUAACAAACAAAAUAAUGAUAGAAACAUUUAACUGAGAAAACCCAUUAAGUAAUACGUCAAUGUCAUUAGUGAUGAUUUCUCUAUGCAACAUGCUUCACAAAUAAGCUAAAGACAUUUUGACAUUUUGAAUGUUCUCAUGCCCAAAGCCUCUUUCACAUCAGCUUAAGUUUUCAGAUGGCAUGUAUGGCUGGAAACAAAACUGCAAGUUCUAAAAUGUGAUCAAGUCAAGGCAUGUCAAACUUGGAAAUCUACUACUUCUUUGACAAACAAUGCAUAUUGUUGAACACAAGGCUUUAAAAAUUAGAACCAGAGGGCAUACUGGUUUUUUUAAAAAACCGGUCUGGUAUCGGGUACAGACACACGGUACAUGACCUAUAUUGAUACAUUGCAUACCGGUGCUGGUUUUCUGCCAAAGCGGUACGGCACUGCUCAUAGCACCCUGUUCCAGUGGUUUUUAAAACCUUGCCUGGAGCUUUCCAGGCAAAUAUGAGCAUAUGAACACAAGAUGGGAUGUUGAAUGGCAUGCCAUCCUAUCAGCAUUUAAGGAAAAUGAUGGGUCAGACAUAUGCAACUUCAACAGCACAUGAGGUUUAACAGUACACCAAGGACAGGAUACAAAGAUAUUUAUGCUUACAAGAAGAUCGACACUCAACUAUGAAACCACCUUCUCCAUAAGCCACUUGAUGUAAGCAUUCAUGAAUUAUAUUAGAUUCCAGUAGUUUACUACAUCAAGCUCAUUAACCUACACUAAGUGUUCUGUGAAUUUGUGGAGAUUCUAUUGGAAAUCGUCUGAGCAAUAAAAAGUACAAGUAUAUAGAAAAUAAGGAAAAAAGGUAACCUAAACACUUAGUAUCAAUAGUUUCAGAAGAAAGCAGCAUCCACAUACAAUGCAUGACGGUAUGGCUUAUAUCAACUCUAUUGAUGCAUAUGUGCAAGAAAAUAAGUGAAUAUGAGCAUCAUCUUGGCACAAAGGUUUGGUGGGAGAUCAAGGUUAUUUGCUUAUAGGGCGCCAAGGAGAUCUUAUCCCAAAUAUGAAAUAAUUUCAUGGAAUCAACUUCACGUUUCCAUCAAGUCAUUCUCUGUGGUAAUUCAUAAAGUUUCAGGAGUUUAAUACCUGUUCAGUUGUUUACAAGUUUUGGUGCAAUAACUACUGUAAGGAUGUGUUAGUCGUCAAAAUAGUAUUUUAGCUUCUUUUUUUUUUUACUUGCUUAAAAUUAGAUUAUAACAGUAACUUACAAAUCACAAGUUUAUGUUAGAUCAUUAUAAAGAAAAGCUAAUACACACCCCAAUCCAUCGAGUUCAGGUUAGAUCAUUAUGUUAGAUUUCCCAUGACAACACAUAUUGGGACAUAUAUUCCCAAUUUCUAUCUUUGACAUGUAUAGUAUCAGAUUCCUUUGUAGCAAAUCCCCCACACACAAUCACCCAAAAAAAUUGAAUAGGGAAGAACAAUCAAGGAUUAAGUAUACGUAGGCUUCACAUGCACAUGGAUACACAUUCAUGUAACAUGUACCUGCAAGCAUGAAUGCAAAAUCCACCCACCAUAGCUGGCAAGAUAUAAUUGCAUUUUUUAACUUAAGCUACCAUUUGCUCUCAAACAUCUAUCUAAAUAAUCUUAACCCAUUCUUUGGAUUCCAAAAAUCUCAUCCAUAAUUGGGCUAUAUACUUUUAAUGAAGUAUCCCGCGUGAAUUAUGAUGCCAACAUCUCAUCCAUGUCCUAUGUAAAAUUCAAAAAUUUUGCAGCAAUUCAACCGAUUGUUUAGUACUUUGUUCCAACAAGUUUACCAAACCAAGUAAAUACUCUGCAGUCUGUGCCCCGUCUCUCCAAUCAACCUGCAUAUAAGCAUAACCUGCAAACAUUCAUCCAAUCAUUCUUCUGACAUAUGACAGAAGUCGUUAUUAAUUUUGGUCAUAUUUCAAUACCACACUGACAACACCAAUGUUUCCAUCUCAUUGCCUGUGAUAACUAGAAUCAAGCACCAUGAGAUGAUCCUAUAAUUCUUUUGGGCCACUGACUUUCCUUCCAUGUGCAGCAUCAUCUGAACCAGCUCAUAUAUUAGGACACAAAUGACCUUUUUUACCAAGCCUGAUUUGUUGGGAUAAUAAAAAAUGCCAUAUGUUCCUCCACAAAGAUAUUUCGCUAGGGAAUAUUAUCUGUAUCAUCUCUGAUAUAAAGAUAUGCUUUAGGUCAGUGUCGGACAAUAAUUAAAAACUGCAAGCAAAAGACCAUUUAUUAUAACUACAUCAAGGAAAUAAAAAAGUUUACUUUCCAUUUUUUUUAAUUUUUGUUUUUGUUUGUGGGUGAAGAGGGGGUAAUAACAUGCCAAAAGAAAAGGUUGUUCUAAAUUAUUAUUGAGCAAUUUUGUAAAUGGAUAAUAAGCUGAUGUGUCUGUUGAAAUAAGGGAAUUGACAAUAUAACAAACAAGAUGCAGAAGUUAGAUACUUAAAGUAAGGACAACAUGAUUAAGCUAAAUUGAUGCCUAGUAGGGAUGUGCAUCACAAUUAAUUAACAAAAAUCAGAACAGAC